This 17227-nucleotide long non-coding RNA is filed under the name Xyrichtys novacula (pearly razorfish). Lineage: Eukaryota; Metazoa; Chordata; Actinopteri; Labriformes; Labridae. The record is from RNAcentral.
GUGACAGGUAGUUAAUCUGUCAGGGGAAAGGAGGAAAUCUGAAUCCCAUAUAGUUACUAGAACUUCGUAGCAGACUAUAGAGACAAGAAUCAAAGUGACAAAUCCCUCAACAGCAGAUUCAACUGCAGACUUUAAAAUCACAAAUGCGGCGAUUUGUGAACACAAAUUUUGUCUGAAUUCAAUCAAACAACAACCUCCCACUGUUACAGUGGUUUCCUGUGACAGGUAGCUAAUCUGUCAGGGGAAAGGAGGAAAUCUGAAUCCCAUAUAGUUACUAGAACCUCGUAGCAGACUACAGAGACUUCAGGGGCUUGAAACCACAGCUCGGAGCAUCGCGAACACUGGGUUCAGCCAAAGGCCUUAAAUACAAGCGUAAGGCGACGCCACAAUCGUGCACAUAAAUAUUGGACAGUCUAGACAGAGCAGAGGAGUCAGUCUCACUGCUACUCAGAACAACAUUUCACGCUGUCCAGCUCAAACACAGACUACAGGCAUGUAGUACAAGAGUGUGUGAAACACAGAGCAUAAAGGUUUUAUGCAUAGAUCAUGAAAACAUCAGAACUUAGUCAAGCAACUUCAGCAAGCAUAGCAUUGAUUGUGAUUAAGUCUAAAAUAGCCUGGAAAUAAGUUUCUCGCAUCAAUUUGGAAGGCUAAGUUUUAGGUUGUCUGUUAGUAUCCAGAAGUUUUGUUUGAAACGCCUCACGCAGGGGCACCAAAAUAUAUGUAGUGAUUUGAAAUGAGCCUCAUACGGUCGCACCAAAAUAUAUGUAGCGAUUUGAAAUGAGCCUCACAAGGCCGCACCAAAAUAAUACUUGGCGAUUGGAAUUUAUAAUAAAUGUCUGAAGAUUAAUAAUCUCAAAUUAUGACAUUUAUGCACUCGUUGAAAGGGGCACCACCCACCCUUAAUGGUGGGAAAAUAAAGAAAACAAAAGUUUAAUUCAGAAAUCAAACAUCAAGUCAGUUUUAAUUAAUCAGUCUUAAUUAAUCAGUCUUAAUUAAUCAGUCUCAUAUCUUAAGUUGAAAUUCUAAUUUCAGGGACUCCACUUCUGGAAGAACACUAACAGACAGGAACUUAGAAAAAUAAUGAUCUGUUUAUUACAGGAUAAAUGAUGGUACAACACACAUGCAAUAAAUGAUGAUAAGAUAAUGAAGAUAAAUAAUAAUAGGUGAAUAAAUCAAGAUUCUGAGUCAGGCUAGGAGCACUAAAGUUAAUGAUAGUGAGUGAAUAUGCGCUAACAUAUUAACCUACACUAACUUUAGUGUCGAGAUAAACUCGGAUGUGGAUUUGGAGGAAUCUAAGAUUACCAGAAUAAGAGGAUAUCUGAGUUGAACGCAGGAGACAGCACCAGCCCUCUUUAGAGCUCUGGAGGUUUGCAUACUUAAGUGAGACUGGUCCUUGGAGAAGAUGGAGCAGGUUCCGAAGGUCCGGGCUACUGGCGGUUCGAGCGGUUCAGCUCAGAAGACGACUGAAGUCAGCCGAAGGAUGAGCCCGGAGUUGCAGCACUCAGGCCCGAAGCAAAAACCAGCGCCUGUGGAUCCUGUGGAUGCUCGUUUGGGUACUUCUUUAGUCUCACUCAAAAACUCUGGCACAGAGGAUGACCUGGGCCUGUUGGAUUGCGUUCGGAGGUGACUUUGAAAUCACGCAGAAAACUCAGAAAAACGAGGCUCGAAGAGCAGAGAAAACUUUCAAAAAUGGCUUCGCGAAAUUAAAGAAAAUCAAUCAAAGGCUUAAUCUUGAAUUGCUAUGUGCACAAAAAGUUGAAGUUUCAAAACUUGAACUAAGACGAUGUUAAAGAAAAAUCAACGUGAAUCAACACGUGGCGUAAAACUUAGAAGACUAAGAAAAAGUUCUAAGAGAGAACAAAGAAAAGGAGGACCACAGAAGGGUGUGGACAGAAGAGAAGGGCCCAAGAGUAAGGGGCCUAAGAGCCGGGGACAAGAGAGUCAGCAGAAGAGCAGAAGCAUAAGAGAGAUAAAAGCAUAAGAGAGAGUAAGAGAGUGAGCAACCCCACUCCACUGGUUUUAUCUUCUCACACUGGGAGUGUCUGAGGAGAAAGAGGAGGGGUCAUCGGGUCUCUGAUUAUUUGAUCUAACUUAUUCUUUUGGCUGGUAAAAGAGUCAGAUCUGAUACUCACUCACUAUGAUUAAUAUCAUUGAAUGCUUGGUUUCAUGAUAAAUAAUUUGAUACUAAACACAUAUGAAUGAAGUGUAGGAUCACAUCAAACAUUCUCAUUAUGUUUUAAGUAUCACAUUGAACAUGCUAAAUUACUCUGAAAUGAAACAGAUAGUAACACAUAGAAACUGUGAACAACAAAAGAGUAAACACAUGUGAAUGAACGUCAUCAUGAUUAAUAAUGGAUUCUAAAUACUCACAUUCAGAUUAUUCAGUGACAUUAUAACCACCUAAUGGUUAAGAUACUAAAUAAACGAUUAAAAUAUAGAACAAACAUUUCUAAACCAUUUCUGUUAAUUAGAGCUAAGUUAUGAGUCACAAUCAAUAAAUUUAACUCUUAAAAGUUCAUGAAACAGUCUGAAAAGCUGUUGGUCUAAAGAACUAAAGAAUAAGGAUUUAUUCUGUCAGAUAAGAUAACUUGGCUUCUGAAGCACAUAGAAAAACGGGAAACAUCUCAUUUUAACACAAAUUUCAUGAUUAGACAGAUUAGUACAUUGCUGAAUGUAUAAGAUGUCAGGAUCAGUCAUUUGUAUUCUUUCACCAAAGGAAUGUAGUCUUUAUCAGUGUAUGGUCGAGCAGGGUUUUACGACCGAGGUCUGGAGGUCAGUGUCCCCCCUUUUCCUAGGGUCCGUAUGUUCACACACUUUAAGACGCUAAAUCUCAAAUGGGAGAUCUGGGUUGAGGUUAAUGUUUAUUUAGAUGGUCAGCAAAUGGAGUCAGUUUGAAAGGUAAUAAAAACUCUGUCUCUGUUCUCCGAAUUGACCAAUCGUGAAGAGUCGGAGGUUUAGUCAACCUCCGGUUGGGUCACUUAUUUAACCUGAAAGGGCAAACACGUCUGGAAAGAUUUAUAUCCUGUUUCCUGGGACCAGAUAAGGAAACUUUCCUGUAAGGAAUGUGUGGGUUUCACAUCCAGGGUUGUCUUGAUUGCUACAGUCCCCCCUUCGUCACGGUGGUCCUGUCCAUGGAGCAUCGGGACGACGAGUAGACAACCAUGAAGCAGCAGCAGGUGUAUGCAAAUAGGACUGAUGCGUCUCAGCAUCACUAUGUGAAUCACUAGUACUGCUUUGAGAUAAAAUUAAGCAUGUAUUAAGCUAUCAAAUAAAAUCGUCUAGUUGUUAGACUUUCUCAGUUAACUAUUGGUAGACUAAUGUGAAAGAAAAUCUCCUAAUUUUUAGUAUUAAUGAGAUUUAGAAAAGCACUCUUUAGUCUGAAUGCUAACCGGAUCUAAAGCUAUAGCUGUUUUUCAUGCUUGCUGGAGAAGUCUGAAAGUUCAAUUUCAGUUUCAAAAAUGGUUAAGACUUAGGUGGAAAAGAAAUGUCUGCUAUAGACAUAUUAACCAUCUGUGUAUGAGCAUAGUCAACCUGAAUCACAAACAUCAAAAGUUUACUGCACAGAGUUUCUCUUAAACUUUGUCUGUUAAACUUGGGGAUGAUGCUCUUAUCGGUUUGACUAAUUAUCUGCUGUUGAGUCUGAAAUUUGUCAAUCUGAGUCUUAAUGACAGAAAUUUCAGCUUUUAAUCUGUUCAUGGGAUAUUUGACAGCUGACAAGCUGACCAUAUUGACAGAGGAGAGACAAAUGCUAACAAAGAAAGCAGCAACUGGGAUUGCAGUCAUCAAUGUAUCACCACAGCAUUUGGAUAUCUUAUUGGAGUCAUUCAGCUUUGGCUGGGUGACUUCUGCUUUCGCAGGACUCACACCUUCAUGACUCCGCAGUGUUAAUCUCAGUGGUUAGCUGAGUUGUCAUGUUUAUUCACCUUCGAAGUGGAUGAAACCGAUUGAGGUGGAUAAUAAGAUCGUCGUUUCUGAGAGUGUGAUUUACUCUGAUUCUGCCAGUCAUUCACCCCCCUUUGGCGGUGUUGAUGGUUUUUCCUUUGUCUGGGAUAAAACCCACCGUGACGGGAGUCUGAAUAACAACAGUUGGUCUCAAAGUUUACCUGGCGUUGGUCUGUGUCAGAACUGGGCCUUGGUGUGUAACUUUGACCUUUGUGAGUUUGUUGAGGUCGAAAAGGUUUUGGGGGCCUGGUUAACCACUCAUUUGGAGGCUUAUCGGAGCCUGAAAAUACACAGUCUGAAGCUUCAUUCAGCUCCAUGGGCAGUGAUUUUGUCCCCAUAGCCAAGAGAGUAACGGGCUCUGCUUUCUUAGCCAAAGUUUGUCGUUGUUUGGCAAAACCUUUUACAGCAAAUUCACGAAGCUGUCGGCUAGUCAAAGUGUUUGGACAAGCUAAGACGCCAAGGUGAUGACUGGUGGUAGGGUGGAGGUUCUGGACGAACAGCGUUUUGAAGUUCAAGUCCUCCUCCAUUUCUGGUUCAUUUCGGAAACCAAAGUAAGCUUCGCGUAAGCGGUUGUAAUAUUGUUGGGGAGAUUCUGAUCUCCCUUGUUUAAUAGACAGAGCAGCAGAGAGGCCUGUCUGGGUCAAAUAGUCAGAAAACUCUUCAAUUAAUGCUUGGCAGAGCAAGUCAUAAUUAUUUCUGACAUGAAAAGGCUGUCUUUCAAGGAAACUGCUAACCUCUCGACUUGACGUCGCCUUAAUAAGGUAGAUUUUGUCAUCAAUGGUUGCACCUAGAAAUUUCCUCAGGUAAAAGUCAAUGUCUUUCAAGUAGGUGCAGGUGUCAAUAGCAGCUUGGUGCUCAGGUUCAAAGCGUGCUAUGUUGCGAGCAAUUUUGUCAAGAUCCCUGUCUGAGGGAGAUGGUAAGAAGCCAUCAUGAGGAGGAGAGUAGGACUCUUGGUUUAAGGAUGACCUCUCAGGGUCAAGCAGGGUCCUGUCAUGAUGCUGAGAGAGAUACUUAAGAGUUGGUUUGGAAGGAAGUGAUGGCGCUCUCUCAGGAGGCUGAUCACCUGUCAUUUCUUCAAGAAACGUUUGCUCCAUGCGUUCUCUUUGGGCUCGACCUGACUGGAGGGAGCAUUGUAACUCUCUUUGGGCAUCUUCAAGUUCUUUGUCUGUCUUUUCUUGCCGUUCUUGACAAAGAAUUAACUGUCUUUGAGCUAUCUGGAGCUGGUGCUGUAAGGUAGAAGUUUGCUUCUCCUUAACUUCAAGAGCUUCAGCACGCACUUUGACCAGUGCUUUCAAAGUUUUUACAUCUUCUGUUGCUUGCUCUAGUAGGGAUUCUGACUGUAUCAGAUCCUCUGUGGUCUUAGCAAGCUGCUUAUUCGUGUCAUCAAGUUCUUUCUCCUUUUUGUAAAGGGUUUCAUUAAGUCUUUCAAUCUUGUCUUUAAGAUCAAGAUUUUCUUCAUGACUUAUCAGUGAGGGAAGCUUUGACGCUUCACAUCUGACACUGUGUUUUCCUAAAACACUUAGAGACUUCUUAGUCUCUUCUAGCGUCUUUUUCAGAGCGCUGUUUUCGUCUUUUGCGCCUUUAUCUUUGCUAAAGCGCAUUCCAGCAAGUAGUCUUUAUACUCAAGCUGAGAAGACAUCAUGACAGACAUGCAUCUAGUGAGCUCUUUGUCUCGAAGUGUCGUGGUUAAGGCUGUUUCCAGUAAGUCAGCCAUUUCAUCCUCCGGAUUGGAGGGUUUGGCCUUUUGAAUCUUAGUCAUGUACUGAGGUAUCAGCUGACUAGUCAAGUUUGCCAACACUGUGGGUAUGUCCCUCAGGGGGUCUCCCUGGCUGGACUCUUUUGUGUUAGGCAUGUUUGGUUUUGGUAAAGAGGUGCAGCUGGUUGGUUGAUGAGUUUGAGUUGACUUAAAAUAAAAGGAAGAAGCAAAAUAUCAAAUUAAGUGGGUUAAUCGACUUAAUUUAUCAGUGCUUGAUAAAGAGGAAGAGCCUAUCUGAGUAGAUAUCUAAUGGAGAGAAAAAUAACAUAAAGUUAAAUUCAUUUCAAUGAAAAUUGUAAACAAAAGGUGAAAUAAUGUUAAAUUAAAUUUAACAUCAGAUACAGAACCAUUGAAUAAAGGGUUCAGUUUGUCUCCGUGUUGCAGAGAUCAGCAAAGCUUAAAUAAACUGCCUGGUGCAGUUGGAUGAAUUGGCAAAAUCGAUGAAAUUGUCAAUUUAAGGAAUUAACUCUGAAGUUAAUUCACAAAUUGCAAUAAAUCCAAAGGUUCGAAUACCAAAUCUAUCUGGAAUGUUAAAAGAAAUUUGAAAUAUUAAUUAAUUUGUUCGUUAAUUAAUUAAUCUUAUGAGUCGGGUUAAUACAUUCAUGUAUUAUAGGGAACAGUAAAACUGCUCACUGGUGUGAUAAGUAACAACAGAUCAGGUGAUUGAUUCAAGGAGUUACUUCAUCAAUACAUCAAAAUCAAUGAUCAGUGAUUUAGAAUAAGCACAUCAAACUUCAUCAACCAAGUCAAUCACUUGAGUUAUGUCUGUAGAGUGUUACACACUGACUACAGGGAGGCAGUACAGCUGGCUGAUACUGCAGGCAGAUAAUAGCAGUGUUAGCUCAAUACCAAAAACAACCAUGUGGGGCAGUAUGGAGUUGGGGUAACUGCACAAGCUCAACACAAGUGGAGAAGAAGAAGAGAAGAGGAAACAGUCAUCCAACUAGCCUCUUGUGGCUGUGAGGAGUUGGGAAGUCUGAAGGAAGGGGCCUUUAGACUCUGCCUCCUUGAAGGGCCUUAUCUGCUUAAGGCCAAAAGGUCAGUCUCUCCACUGACAACAAAGGGUUAACAUUUCACAGCAGGCUGCGUCUGCACCCUCAAACAUAGAGCUUUACACCAUCUGCUCAGGCAGAUUGGUUCAAUAAAAUCAUUUACAGGAACAAGAAUCAAAGUGACAAAUUCUUAAACAGCAGAUUCAACUGCAGACUUUAAAAUCACAAAUGCGGCGAUUUGUGAUCACAAAUUUUGUCUGAAUUCAUUCAAACAACAACCUCCCACUGUUACAGUGGUUUCCUGUGACAGGUAGUUAAUCUGUCAGGGGAAAGGAGGAAAUCUGAAUCCCAUAUAGUUACUAGAACUUCGUAGCAGACUAUAGAGACAAGAAUCAAAGUGACAAAUCCCUCAACAGCAGAUUCAACUGCAGACUUUAAAAUCACAAAUGCGGCGAUUUGUGAACACAAAUUUUGUCUGAAUUCAAUCAAACAACAACCUCCCACUGUUACAGUGGUUUCCUGUGACAGGUAGCUAAUCUGUCAGGGGAAAGGAGGAAAUCUGAAUCCCAUAUAGUUACUAGAACCUCGUAGCAGACUACAGAGACUUCAGGGGCUUGAAACCACAGCUCGGAGCAUCGCGAACACUGGGUUCAGCCAAAGGCCUUAAAUACAAGCGUACGGCGACGCCACAAUCGUGCACAUAAAUAUUGGACAGUCUAGACAGAGCAGAGGAGUCAGUCUCACUGCUACUCAGAACAACAUUUCACGCUGUCCAGCUCAAACACAGACUACAGGCAUGUAGUACAAGAGUGUGUGAAACACAGAGCAUAAAGGUUUUAUGCAUAGAUCAUGAAAACAUCAGAACUUAGUCAAGCAACUUCAGCAAGCAUAGCAUUGAUUGUGAUUAAGUCUAAAAUAGCCUGGAAAUAAGUUUCUCGCAUCAAUUUGGAAGGCUAAGUUUUAGGUUGUCUGUUAGUAUCCAGAAGUUUUGUUUGAAACGCCUCACGCAGGGGCACCAAAAUAUAUGUAGUGAUUUGAAAUGAGCCUCAUACGGUCGCACCAAAAUAUAUGUAGCGAUUUGAAAUGAGCCUCACAAGGCCGCACCAAAAUAAUACUUGGCGAUUGGAAUUUAUAAUAAAUGUCUGAAGAUUAAUAAUCUCAAAUUAUGACAUUUAUGCACUCGUUGAAAGGGGCACCACCCACCCUUAAUGGUGGGAAAAUAAAGAAAACAAAAGUUUAAUUCAGAAAUCAAACAUCAAGUCAGUUUUAAUUAAUCAGUCUUAAUUAAUCAGUCUUAAUUAAUCAGUCUCAUAUCUUAAGUUGAAAUUCUAAUUUCAGGGACUCCACUUCUGGAAGAACACUAACAGACAGGAACUUAGAAAAAUAAUGAUCUGUUUAUUACAGGAUAAAUGAUGGUACAACACACAUGCAAUAAAUGAUGAUAAGAUAAUGAAGAUAAAUAAUAAUAGGUGAAUAAAUCAAGAUUCUGAGUCAGGCUAGGAGCACUAAAGUUAAUGAUAGUGAGUGAAUAUGCGCUAACAUAUUAACCUACACUAACUUUAGUGUCGAGAUAAACUCGGAUGUGGAUUUGGAGGAAUCUAAGAUUACCAGAAUAAGAGGAUAUCUGAGUUGAACGCAGGAGACAGCACCAGCCCUCUUUAGAGCUCUGGAGGUUUGCAUACUUAAGUGAGACUGGUCCUUGGAGAAGAUGGAGCAGGUUCCGAAGGUCCGGGCUACUGGCGGUUCGAGCGGUUCAGCUCAGAAGACGACUGAAGUCAGCCGAAGGAUGAGCCCGGAGUUGCAGCACUCAGGCCCGAAGCAAAAACCAGCGCCUGUGGAUCCUGUGGAUGCUCGUUUGGGUACUUCUUUAGUCUCACUCAAAAACUCUGGCACAGAGGAUGACCUGGGCCUGUUGGAUUGCGUUCGGAGGUGACUUUGAAAUCACGCAGAAAACUCAGAAAAACGAGGCUCGAAGAGCAGAGAAAACUUUCAAAAAUGGCUUCGCGAAAUUAAAGAAAAUCAAUCAAAGGCUUAAUCUUGAAUUGCUAUGUGCACAAAAAGUUGAAGUUUCAAAACUUGAACUAAGACGAUGUUAAAGAAAAAUCAACGUGAAUCAACACGUGGCGUAAAACUUAGAAGACUAAGAAAAAGUUCUAAGAGAGAACAAAGAAAAGGAGGACCACAGAAGGGUGUGGACAGAAGAGAAGGGCCCAAGAGUAAGGGGCCUAAGAGCCGGGGACAAGAGAGUCAGCAGAAGAGCAGAAGCAUAAGAGAGAUAAAAGCAUAAGAGAGAGUAAGAGAGUGAGCAACCCCACUCCACUGGUUUUAUCUUCUCACACUGGGAGUGUCUGAGGAGAAAGAGGAGGGGUCAUCGGGUCUCUGAUUAUUUGAUCUAACUUAUUCUUUUGGCUGGUAAAAGAGUCAGAUCUGAUACUCACUCACUAUGAUUAAUAUCAUUGAAUGCUUGGUUUCAUGAUAAAUAAUUUGAUACUAAACACAUAUGAAUGAAGUGUAGGAUCACAUCAAACAUUCUCAUUAUGUUUUAAGUAUCACAUUGAACAUGCUAAAUUACUCUGAAAUGAAACAGAUAGUAACACAUAGAAACUGUGAACAACAAAAGAGUAAACACAUGUGAAUGAACGUCAUCAUGAUUAAUAAUGGAUUCUAAAUACUCACAUUCAGAUUAUUCAGUGACAUUAUAACCACCUAAUGGUUAAGAUACUAAAUAAACGAUUAAAAUAUAGAACAAACAUUUCUAAACCAUUUCUGUUAAUUAGAGCUAAGUUAUGAGUCACAAUCAAUAAAUUUAACUCUUAAAAGUUCAUGAAACAGUCUGAAAAGCUGUUGGUCUAAAGAACUAAAGAAUAAGGAUUUAUUCUGUCAGAUAAGAUAACUUGGCUUCUGAAGCACAUAGAAAAACGGGAAACAUCUCAUUUUAACACAAAUUUCAUGAUUAGACAGAUUAGUACAUUGCUGAAUGUAUAAGAUGUCAGGAUCAGUCAUUUGUAUUCUUUCACCAAAGGAAUGUAGUCUUUAUCAGUGUAUGGUCGAGCAGGGUUUUACGACCGAGGUCUGGAGGUCAGUGUCCCCCCUUUUCCUAGGGUCCGUAUGUUCACACACUUUAAGACGCUAAAUCUCAAAUGGGAGAUCUGGGUUGAGGUUAAUGUUUAUUUAGAUGGUCAGCAAAUGGAGUCAGUUUGAAAGGUAAUAAAAACUCUGUCUCUGUUCUCCGAAUUGACCAAUCGUGAAGAGUCGGAGGUUUAGUCAACCUCCGGUUGGGUCACUUAUUUAACCUGAAAGGGCAAACACGUCUGGAAAGAUUUAUAUCCUGUUUCCUGGGACCAGAUAAGGAAACUUUCCUGUAAGGAAUGUGUGGGUUUCACAUCCAGGGUUGUCUUGAUUGCUACAGUCCCCCCUUCGUCACGGUGGUCCUGUCCAUGGAGCAUCGGGACGACGAGUAGACAACCAUGAAGCAGCAGCAGGUGUAUGCAAAUAGGACUGAUGCGUCUCAGCAUCACUAUGUGAAUCACUAGUACUGCUUUGAGAUAAAAUUAAGCAUGUAUUAAGCUAUCAAAUAAAAUCGUCUAGUUGUUAGACUUUCUCAGUUAACUAUUGGUAGACUAAUGUGAAAGAAAAUCUCCUAAUUUUUAGUAUUAAUGAGAUUUAGAAAAGCACUCUUUAGUCUGAAUGCUAACCGGAUCUAAAGCUAUAGCUGUUUUUCAUGCUUGCUGGAGAAGUCUGAAAGUUCAAUUUCAGUUUCAAAAAUGGUUAAGACUUAGGUGGAAAAGAAAUGUCUGCUAUAGACAUAUUAACCAUCUGUGUAUGAGCAUAGUCAACCUGAAUCACAAACAUCAAAAGUUUACUGCACAGAGUUUCUCUUAAACUUUGUCUGUUAAACUUGGGGAUGAUGCUCUUAUCGGUUUGACUAAUUAUCUGCUGUUGAGUCUGAAAUUUGUCAAUCUGAGUCUUAAUGACAGAAAUUUCAGCUUUUAAUCUGUUCAUGGGAUAUUUGACAGCUGACAAGCUGACCAUAUUGACAGAGGAGAGACAAAUGCUAACAAAGAAAGCAGCAACUGGGAUUGCAGUCAUCAAUGUAUCACCACAGCAUUUGGAUAUCUUAUUGGAGUCAUUCAGCUUUGGCUGGGUGACUUCUGCUUUCGCAGGACUCACACCUUCAUGACUCCGCAGUGUUAAUCUCAGUGGUUAGCUGAGUUGUCAUGUUUAUUCACCUUCGAAGUGGAUGAAACCGAUUGAGGUGGAUAAUAAGAUCGUCGUUUCUGAGAGUGUGAUUUACUCUGAUUCUGCCAGUCAUUCACCCCCCUUUGGCGGUGUUGAUGGUUUUUCCUUUGUCUGGGAUAAAACCCACCGUGACGGGAGUCUGAAUAACAACAGUUGGUCUCAAAGUUUACCUGGCGUUGGUCUGUGUCAGAACUGGGCCUUGGUGUGUAACUUUGACCUUUGUGAGUUUGUUGAGGUCGAAAAGGUUUUGGGGGCCUGGUUAACCACUCAUUUGGAGGCUUAUCGGAGCCUGAAAAUACACAGUCUGAAGCUUCAUUCAGCUCCAUGGGCAGUGAUUUUGUCCCCAUAGCCAAGAGAGUAACGGGCUCUGCUUUCUUAGCCAAAGUUUGUCGUUGUUUGGCAAAACCUUUUACAGCAAAUUCACGAAGCUGUCGGCUAGUCAAAGUGUUUGGACAAGCUAAGACGCCAAGGUGAUGACUGGUGGUAGGGUGGAGGUUCUGGACGAACAGCGUUUUGAAGUUCAAGUCCUCCUCCAUUUCUGGUUCAUUUCGGAAACCAAAGUAAGCUUCGCGUAAGCGGUUGUAAUAUUGUUGGGGAGAUUCUGAUCUCCCUUGUUUAAUAGACAGAGCAGCAGAGAGGCCUGUCUGGGUCAAAUAGUCAGAAAACUCUUCAAUUAAUGCUUGGCAGAGCAAGUCAUAAUUAUUUCUGACAUGAAAAGGCUGUCUUUCAAGGAAACUGCUAACCUCUCGACUUGACGUCGCCUUAAUAAGGUAGAUUUUGUCAUCAAUGGUUGCACCUAGAAAUUUCCUCAGGUAAAAGUCAAUGUCUUUCAAGUAGGUGCAGGUGUCAAUAGCAGCUUGGUGCUCAGGUUCAAAGCGUGCUAUGUUGCGAGCAAUUUUGUCAAGAUCCCUGUCUGAGGGAGAUGGUAAGAAGCCAUCAUGAGGAGGAGAGUAGGACUCUUGGUUUAAGGAUGACCUCUCAGGGUCAAGCAGGGUCCUGUCAUGAUGCUGAGAGAGAUACUUAAGAGUUGGUUUGGAAGGAAGUGAUGGCGCUCUCUCAGGAGGCUGAUCACCUGUCAUUUCUUCAAGAAACGUUUGCUCCAUGCGUUCUCUUUGGGCUCGACCUGACUGGAGGGAGCAUUGUAACUCUCUUUGGGCAUCUUCAAGUUCUUUGUCUGUCUUUUCUUGCCGUUCUUGACAAAGAAUUAACUGUCUUUGAGCUAUCUGGAGCUGGUGCUGUAAGGUAGAAGUUUGCUUCUCCUUAACUUCAAGAGCUUCAGCACGCACUUUGACCAGUGCUUUCAAAGUUUUUACAUCUUCUGUUGCUUGCUCUAGUAGGGAUUCUGACUGUAUCAGAUCCUCUGUGGUCUUAGCAAGCUGCUUAUUCGUGUCAUCAAGUUCUUUCUCCUUUUUGUAAAGGGUUUCAUUAAGUCUUUCAAUCUUGUCUUUAAGAUCAAGAUUUUCUUCAUGACUUAUCAGUGAGGGAAGCUUUGACGCUUCACAUCUGACACUGUGUUUUCCUAAAACACUUAGAGACUUCUUAGUCUCUUCUAGCGUCUUUUUCAGAGCGCUGUUUUCGUCUUUUUGCGCCUUUAUCUUUGCUAAAGCGCAUUCCAGCAAGUAGUCUUUAUACUCAAGCUGAGAAGACAUCAUGACAGACAUGCAUCUAGUGAGCUCUUUGUCUCGAAGUGUCGUGGUUAAGGCUGUUUCCAGUAAGUCAGCCAUUUCAUCCUCCGGAUUGGAGGGUUUGGCCUUUUGAAUCUUAGUCAUGUACUGAGGUAUCAGCUGACUAGUCAAGUUUGCCAACACUGUGGGUAUGUCCCUCAGGGGGUCUCCCUGGCUGGACUCUUUUGUGUUAGGCAUGUUUGGUUUUGGUAAAGAGGUGCAGCUGGUUGGUUGAUGAGUUUGAGUUGACUUAAAAUAAAAGGAAGAAGCAAAAUAUCAAAUUAAGUGGGUUAAUCGACUUAAUUUAUCAGUGCUUGAUAAAGAGGAAGAGCCUAUCUGAGUAGAUAUCUAAUGGAGAGAAAAAUAACAUAAAGUUAAAUUCAUUUCAAUGAAAAUUGAAAACAAAAGGUGAAAUAAUGUUAAAUUAAAUUUAACAUCAGAUACAGAACCAUUGAAUAAAGGGUUCAGUUUGUCUCCGUGUUGCAGAGAUCAGCAAAGCUUAAAUAAACUGCCUGGUGCAGUUGGAUGAAUUGGCAAAAUCGAUGAAAUUGUCAAUUUAAGGAAUUAACUCUGAAGUUAAUUCACAAAUUGCAAUAAAUCCAAAGGUUCGAAUACCAAAUCUAUCUGGAAUGUUAAAAGAAAUUUGAAAUAUUAAUUAAUUUGUUCGUUAAUUAAUUAAUCUUAUGAGUCGGGUUAAUACAUUCAUGUAUUAUAGGGAACAGUAAAACUGCUCACUGGUGUGAUAAGUAACAACAGAUCAGGUGAUUGAUUCAAGGAGUUACUUCAUCAAUACAUCAAAAUCAAUGAUCAGUGAUUUAGAAUAAGCACAUCAAACUUCAUCAACCAAGUCAAUCACUUGAGUUAUGUCUGUAGAGUGUUACACACUGACUACAGGGAGGCAGUACAGCUGGCUGAUACUGCAGGCAGAUAAUAGCAGUGUUAGCUCAAUACCAAAAACAACCAUGUGGGGCAGUAUGGAGUUGGGGUAACUGCACAAGCUCAACACAAGUGGAGAAGAAGAAGAGAAGAGGAAACAGUCAUCCAACUAGCCUCUUGUGGCUGUGAGGAGUUGGGAAGUCUGAAGGAAGGGGCCUUUAGACUCUGCCUCCUUGAAGGGCCUUAUCUGCUUAAGGCCAAAAGGUCAGUCUCUCCACUGACAACAAAGGGUUAACAUUUCACAGCAGGCUGCGUCUGCACCCUCAAACAUAGAGCUUUACACCAUCUGCUCAGGCAGAUUGGUUCAAUAAAAUCAUUUACAGGAACAAGAAUCAAAGUGACAAAUUCUUAAACAGCAGAUUCAACUGCAGACUUUAAAAUCACAAAUGCGGCGAUUUGUGAUCACAAAUUUUGUCUGAAUUCAUUCAAACAACAACCUCCCACUGUUACAGUGGUUUCCUGUGACAGGUAGUUAAUCUGUCAGGGGAAAGGAGGAAAUCUGAAUCCCAUAUAGUUACUAGAACUUCGUAGCAGACUAUAGAGACAAGAAUCAAAGUGACAAAUCCCUCAACAGCAGAUUCAACUGCAGACUUUAAAAUCACAAAUGCGGCGAUUUGUGAACACAAAUUUUGUCUGAAUUCAAUCAAACAACAACCUCCCACUGUUACAGUGGUUUCCUGUGACAGGUAGCUAAUCUGUCAGGGGAAAGGAGGAAAUCUGAAUCCCAUAUAGUUACUAGAACCUCGUAGCAGACUACAGAGACUUCAGGGGCUUGAAACCACAGCUCGGAGCAUCGCGAACACUGGGUUCAGCCAAAGGCCUUAAAUACAAGCGUACGGCGACGCCACAAUCGUGCACAUAAAUAUUGGACAGUCUAGACAGAGCAGAGGAGUCAGUCUCACUGCUACUCAGAACAACAUUUCACGCUGUCCAGCUCAAACACAGACUACAGGCAUGUAGUACAAGAGUGUGUGAAACACAGAGCAUAAAGGUUUUAUGCAUAGAUCAUGAAAACAUCAGAACUUAGUCAAGCAACUUCAGCAAGCAUAGCAUUGAUUGUGAUUAAGUCUAAAAUAGCCUGGAAAUAAGUUUCUCGCAUCAAUUUGGAAGGCUAAGUUUUAGGUUGUCUGUUAGUAUCCAGAAGUUUUGUUUGAAACGCCUCACGCAGGGGCACCAAAAUAUAUGUAGUGAUUUGAAAUGAGCCUCAUACGGUCGCACCAAAAUAUAUGUAGCGAUUUGAAAUGAGCCUCACAAGGCCGCACCAAAAUAAUACUUGGCGAUUGGAAUUUAUAAUAAAUGUCUGAAGAUUAAUAAUCUCAAAUUAUGACAUUUAUGCACUCGUUGAAAGGGGCACCACCCACCCUUAAUGGUGGGAAAAUAAAGAAAACAAAAGUUUAAUUCAGAAAUCAAACAUCAAGUCAGUUUUAAUUAAUCAGUCUUAAUUAAUCAGUCUUAAUUAAUCAGUCUCAUAUCUUAAGUUGAAAUUCUAAUUUCAGGGACUCCACUUCUGGAAGAACACUAACAGACAGGAACUUAGAAAAAUAAUGAUCUGUUUAUUACAGGAUAAAUGAUGGUACAACACACAUGCAAUAAAUGAUGAUAAGAUAAUGAAGAUAAAUAAUAAUAGGUGAAUAAAUCAAGAUUCUGAGUCAGGCUAGGAGCACUAAAGUUAAUGAUAAUGAGUGAAUAUGCGCUAACAUAUUAACCUACACUAACUUUAGUGUCGAGAUAAACUCGGAUGUGGAUUUGGAGGAAUCUAAGAUUACCAGAAUAAGAGGAUAUCUGAGUUGAACGCAGGAGACAGCACCAGCCCUCUUUAGAGCUCUGGAGGUUUGCAUACUUAAGUGAGACUGGUCCUUGGAGAAGAUGGAGCAGGUUCCGAAGGUCCGGGCUACUGGCGGUUCGAGCGGUUCAGCUCAGAAGACGACUGAAGUCAGCCGAAGGAUGAGCCCGGAGUUGCAGCACUCAGGCCCGAAGCAAAAACCAGCGCCUGUGGAUCCUGUGGAUGCUCGUUUGGGUACUUCUUUAGUCUCACUCAAAAACUCUGGCACAGAGGAUGACCUGGGCCUGUUGGAUUGCGUUCGGAGGUGACUUUGAAAUCACGCAGAAAACUCAGAAAAACGAGGCUCGAAGAGCAGAGAAAACUUUCAAAAAUGGCUUCGCGAAAUUAAAGAAAAUCAAUCAAAGGCUUAAUCUUGAAUUGCUAUGUGCACAAAAAGUUGAAGUUUCAAAACUUGAACUAAGACGAUGUUAAAGAAAAAUCAACGUGAAUCAACACGUGGCGUAAAACUUAGAAGACUAAGAAAAAGUUCUAAGAGAGAACAAAGAAAAGGAGGACCACAGAAGGGUGUGGACAGAAGAGAAGGGCCCAAGAGUAAGGGGCCUAAGAGCCGGGGACAAGAGAGUCAGCAGAAGAGCAGAAGCAUAAGAGAGAUAAAAGCAUAAGAGAGAGUAAGAGAGUGAGCAACCCCACUCCACUGGUUUUAUCUUCUCACACUGGGAGUGUCUGAGGAGAAAGAGGAGGGGUCAUCGGGUCUCUGAUUAUUUGAUCUAACUUAUUCUUUUGGCUGGUAAAAGAGUCAGAUCUGAUACUCACUCACUAUGAUUAAUAUCAUUGAAUGCUUGGUUUCAUGAUAAAUAAUUUGAUACUAAACACAUAUGAAUGAAGUGUAGGAUCACAUCAAACAUUCUCAUUAUGUUUUAAGUAUCACAUUGAACAUGCUAAAUUACUCUGAAAUGAAACAGAUAGUAACACAUAGAAACUGUGAACAACAAAAGAGUAAACACAUGUGAAUGAACGUCAUCAUGAUUAAUAAUGGAUUCUAAAUACUCACAUUCAGAUUAUUCAGUGACAUUAUAACCACCUAAUGGUUAAGAUACUAAAUAAACGAUUAAAAUAUAGAACAAACAUUUCUAAACCAUUUCUGUUAAUUAGAGCUAAGUUAUGAGUCACAAUCAAUAAAUUUAACUCUUAAAAGUUCAUGAAACAGUCUGAAAAGCUGUUGGUCUAAAGAACUAAAGAAUAAGGAUUUAUUCUGUCAGAUAAGAUAACUUGGCUUCUGAAGCACAUAGAAAAACGGGAAACAUCUCAUUUUAACACAAAUUUCAUGAUUAGACAGAUUAGUACAUUGCUGAAUGUAUAAGAUGUCAGGAUCAGUCAUUUGUAUUCUUUCACCAAAGGAAUGUAGUCUUUAUCAGUGUAUGGUCGAGCAGGGUUUUACGACCGAGGUCUGGAGGUCAGUGUCCCCCCCUUUUCCUAGGGUCCGUAUGUUCACACACUUUAAGACGCUAAAUCUCAAAUGGGAGAUCUGGGUUGAGGUUAAUGUUUAUUUAGAUGGUCAGCAAAUGGAGUCAGUUUGAAAGGUAAUAAAAACUCUGUCUCUGUUCUCCGAAUUGACCAAUCGUGAAGAGUCGGAGGUUUAGUCAACCUCCGGUUGGGUCACUUAUUUAACCUGAAAGGGCAAACACGUCUGGAAAGAUUUAUAUCCUGUUUCCUGGGACCAGAUAAGGAAACUUUCCUGUAAGGAAUGUGUGGGUUUCACAUCCAGGGUUGUCUUGAUUGCUACACGUUAAACCUUACCAUAGCCCCAUAACCUAAUACCCGGGUAUUACUUUUAGGAAGCCUGAACACUCCAAAUGUUUUUUUUUUCAUUUUUCAUUUUUUUUGGUCUAACUAACUCCAAAAGGUUGGAAAA